Non-coding RNA from Stegodyphus mimosarum, 73 nucleotides. NCBI's taxonomy places the organism in Eukaryota, Metazoa, Arthropoda, Arachnida, Araneae, Eresidae. The record is from Rfam.
GCCUUCGUGGUGUAGUGGUCAGCACGCUCGACGCGUAACCGAGAGGUCCGUGGUUCGAUUCCCGAAGAAAGCG